RNAcentral lists this ribosomal RNA (492 nucleotides) under uncultured bacterium. RNAcentral describes it as "partial 16S ribosomal RNA". It matches the Rfam family "Bacterial small subunit ribosomal RNA", at positions 29 to 507 of the family's 1533-position model. The record is from RNAcentral.
AGUGAACGCUGGCGGCAGGCCUAACACAUGCAAGUCGAACGGCAGCACAGUAAGAGUUUGCUUUUACCGGUGGCGACUGGCGGACGAGUAACGAAUACAUCACUAACUACUUUUUCUAGGGGGACAACGUAGAGCAUCAGACGCUAAUUCCUCAUACUACCAACGGGUGGAAGCAGGGGAUCUUGCGACCUUGCGCGAUUCAUUGAGCCGAUGCCGGAUUAGCUAGUUGGCGGGGUAAAGGCCCACCAAGGCGACGAUCCGUAGCUGGUCUGAGAGGAUGAUCGGCCACACUGGAACUGAGACACGGUCCAGACUCCUACGGGAGGCAGCAGUGGGGAAUUUUGGGCAAUGGGCGCAAGCUUGCACCAGCCAUACCGCGUGGGUGAAGAAGGCCUUCGGGUUGUAAAACACUUUUAUUAGGGAAGAAAAGCAGUAUGUUUAUAUAUCGCUGUUCUGACGGUACCCAAACAAAAAGCACCGGCUAACUUCGUG